UGCUGGUCUGAGUGCAGUGGUGUCUACAACUAACUGAUCACAACCAGUUACAGAUUUCCUUCUUCCUCCUCCACUCCCACUGCUUCACCUGACUGGCUGAA
This is a Y RNA of Callithrix jacchus (white-tufted-ear marmoset), 101 nucleotides long. It matches the Rfam family "Y RNA". From Rfam's summary of the family: Y RNAs are components of the Ro ribonucleoprotein particle (Ro RNP), in association with Ro60 and La proteins. The Y RNAs and Ro60 and La proteins are well conserved, but the function of the Ro RNP is not known. In humans the RNA component can be one of four small RNAs -- hY1, hY3, hY4 and hY5. The record is from Ensembl. NCBI's taxonomy places the organism in Eukaryota, Metazoa, Chordata, Mammalia, Primates, Cebidae.